Molecule: long non-coding RNA, 1349 nt
Filed under: Mus musculus (house mouse)
Lineage: Eukaryota; Metazoa; Chordata; Mammalia; Rodentia; Muridae
Description: long non-coding RNA chr2:3767857-3769206
Source: RNAcentral
AUCACUUACUUAAAAUUCAAAUACUGGUCUAAAGUUUAAGGUGAUUUGGAUUGCAUUUGUUCCCUGAUAGAUCAGAAAUAAUUUAUCUGUUUUCUUUUCUCCAAGACAGCAAAGAAAUAUAUAAAGGUUUCACAUUAGUCAAUAAAUAUUGGCUGCUGAGGUAUUUCAUAUUCUCAUUUCAAAUAAGAUUAACUUAAUAAUUUAUAAUUGACUGAGGGCGAAUUAAGGAGCUUCACCUAAGCAGAUGUUUUCAUGUAAAGGGAAAUCAAUCCACGUCUCAGGUUACACACGAGCCCACCACUAAUGUGCCAUAAAAAUAAAACCUAGAGGGGGCUUAAGAGUGUGACUGCCAAUAUUUCCAGAGAGAAAGACAUACUAAACACAGUGAUAAAUUAUUGCAGUCUUAUGUAACAGAAUUGUGCCAAUUUCUAAUCAAUUACAGAUAACUUAUUUUUCAUCAACUAAAUGUAACUUUAGAAGUUUAAGCUUUUUUAUUGUUUCAUUGUUGAGAUUCUAUUCUUGGUUGUACUUCCUGCCACUGAGAGUUGGUAAUAGUCAGUUGUAUACUUUAUAUUUUUAUCUGGUCUAAAUCAUUGUGCUAGUCUAGAUAGCUUUCCUCUAAAAUAUGUGGAAAUUUCUAGAAUACUGACUAUGUUAAAAAAUAAAAUAAAGUUGUCUAUUUGAUCACUUUAAAGAGGUAGAGGAAGAAGGGUCAUUGUAAGCUUAAAGCCAGCCAGAUCUACAUAGAAAGUUCUAAGCCAGACAUGGCUAGAUUGCAAGACUCUCAAAACACAAACAAACAAACAAACAGAUUUAAAAUGUAUAAAUCUGAUACUUGUUCCAUGGCAGCCAUGAUGCUGUUUUUGAUCUCAAUAAGACUCUGUAAGACAGCAAAAUAAUUUCCUAGAGACCUAUUACUUUCACAUUGGAUAAAAUAUACUUAAUAUCCUUUCAUUUUCAUGUUUCAAAGGAAGAGUCAAAGAUGAUUAAAGGGCUCUUUGAAGCGGUCAGGGCUUGGUCACUUCACAUUCUGUAGUCAGGGACUGAACCAUAGUUACUUUUAUAAAUGUAUUAGGAUGUGAAGAACUGACUAUUAAGUCUAAAGUAGCUGUAUUAUCAAUAAAGCAAUACACUGAGUUGGGGUAUUGUUUUUUAAAUAUGUAAUUAUAUUUCUUUUCAUGAAAAAUCAUACAUAAAUUGUUACGUUUAUUUAAGAUGAAAUUGUACAGCCGAUAAGAGAAGAGAGAAUCCACAUUGUAGAUUCCUUUUGUGAGGGCAUGAAGAAGUCUGUACACAAUUGAGCAUAUUCCAUGUUUAAAGGAAGAAAGUAAAUAAAUGCAAACAACUCC